This is a non-coding RNA of Vicia faba (fava bean), 288 nucleotides long. The record is from the annotation of a GenBank genome assembly. NCBI's taxonomy places the organism in Eukaryota, Viridiplantae, Streptophyta, Magnoliopsida, Fabales, Fabaceae.
AUGGCGGCAACAACUUCAUCUCCUUCGAAAUCCCAAAUCCUGUCGCUCCUCCGCACCUUCAUACGACUAUCUCGUCAGUUUCCCGAUUACAACAUUAGGGAAUACACUAAACGACGUGCCGUCGAUGCGUUUCGUGAAAACGCAACGCUUUCUGAAGCUUCUUCAGUUUCCGAAGCUUUUGAAUUCGGAAAGUCUCAGCUUGAAGUGGCGAAACGACAGGCCGUUGUUUACUCUCUUUAUGUUCCUCCUCUUCCCAGUGUUAUGGAGAUUCAGAGUAAACCCUUUUAA